RNAcentral lists this ribosomal RNA (108 nucleotides) under Hofstenia miamia. Lineage: Eukaryota; Metazoa; Xenacoelomorpha; Acoela; Hofsteniidae. The record is from RNAcentral.
GACUACGGCCAUAUCCAGUUAAAAGCAACCAGAACUCGUCUGAUAUCCGAAGUUAUGCAACUGUGGGCCUGGUUAAUACGAAGGUGGGAACCCCAGGUGCUGUAGGCU